This 827-nucleotide ribosomal RNA is filed under the name uncultured Actinomycetes bacterium. RNAcentral's name for it is "bacterial SSU rRNA". It matches the Rfam family "Bacterial small subunit ribosomal RNA", at positions 74 to 878 of the family's 1533-position model. The record is from RNAcentral. Lineage: Bacteria; Bacillati; Actinomycetota; Actinomycetes.
UCCCCUUCGGGGGAUAAGUAGAGUGGCGCACGGGUGAGUAACACGUAGGUAAUCUACCUUCGGGUGGGGAAUAACCCAGGGAAACUUGGGCUAACACCGCAUAAUGCAGCGGCACCACAUGGUGACAGUUGUUAAAGCGGGGGAUCUUAGGACCUCGCGCCUGAAGAGGAGCCUGCGGCGGAUUAGCUAGUUGGUGAGGUAACGGCUCACCAAGGUAACGAUCCGUAGCCGGCCUGAGAGGGCGGUCGGCCACACUGACACUGACAUACGGGUCAGACUCCUACGGGAGGCAGCAGUCGGGAAUUUUGGGCAAUGGGCGAAAGCCUGACCCAGCAACGCCGCGUGAAGGAUGAAAUCCCUCGGGAUGUAAACUUCGCAAGAAUGGGAAGAAUUAGUAGGGGUCAAUACCCCCUAUGAUGACGGUACCAUUUGUAAGCUCCGGCUAACUCCGUGCCAGCAGCCGCGGUAAUACGGGGGGAGCAAGCGUUGUUCGGAUUUACUGGGCGUAAAGGGCGCGUAGGCGGUCAGCACAAGUCAGUUGUGAAAUCUCCGGGCUUAACCCGGAACGGUCAACUGAUACUGUGCGACUAGAGUGCGGAAGGGGCAACUGGAAUUCUCGGUGUAGCGGUGAAAUGCGUAGAUAUCGAGAGGAACACCUGCGGCGAAGGCGGGUUGCUGGGCCGACACUGACGCUGAUGCGCGAAAGCCAGGGGAGCGAACGGGAUUAGAUACCCCGGUAGUCCUGGCCUUAAACGAUGGAUGCUUGGUGUCUGGGGUUUUAUAGUCCCCGGGUGCCGCAGCUAACGCGUUAAGCAUCCCGCCUGGGG